Pelobates cultripes (western spadefoot toad) is the source of this 765-nucleotide non-coding RNA. The record is from the annotation of a GenBank genome assembly. NCBI's taxonomy places the organism in Eukaryota, Metazoa, Chordata, Amphibia, Anura, Pelobatidae.
CCUAACUGCAAUAGUGAGAUCUUCCAAAGAAUAACUGGCCCAGCUCUCCGCCAAAGUAAGUCAGCACUGGAAAGGGCAAACAACGUUUCCACCUUCACUGAAGUCUUUAUCAAGCUUCGUAAAGGCCUCAAUGUAAGUUGAAUAGUUGGUUGGCUGUUUGGUUCUAAUUGUUGGUGUGCCGAUUUGUUGAUAAGUCUGGAACCAUUUAGUCUUUGGAAGAUCUCACUAGGGUUGAAACUAAACUUGCAGUUAGGAUAGUCUUUGUAAUUCCUACUGCUUUAGCAUAGAUCUAAAAAAUAAACACAAUCCCCACGGAGGUCAGAAAUGGGAACCAAGAGAGUCUGUUGCAUUUAAUUAGUGUACCUCGUUUCUUAAUUUUAACUCGCAGGGAAAUACUGUAACUUUUGGCUUCACACUACAUUAUUCACGUUUACAACUUCCCUCCUAUAACGCCAAAAAUCCUUACUGCCACCAUUUGUGAUUUAAAAUGUACUAUGAAUAGUAAAUAUAUAAAACAGUAAAAUAUGUAACAUAUCCAUGCUACAGUAACAUAUGAGACAGAAGCAAAAAAUAAACCACAGCAUUGCAAAUAAAUUAAAAAUUUAAAUCCCUUUGUCAGUAAGAUAUUAAAUGCAAGAGAUUGGGGUGGAAACAUGCAUUGUAUUUCUAACUAUUAAAAAAUGAAUAAAAAUUACAGUCCCUGUGUGUGAGGAGGUUGAAUUGAUUGGAGUGUUGGUGGAGAAAUUAAUUUCUCAUCUCAGUGAG